GGCAAGAUGGCCGAGCGGUCUAAGGCGCUACGUUAAGGUUAACCCUUAAUCUGAGUUAAAUCUCAUAUCCGUAGUCCGAAAGGGCGUGGGUUCGAAUCCCACUCUUGUCA
Molecule: transfer RNA, 110 nt
Filed under: Neurospora crassa
Lineage: Eukaryota; Fungi; Ascomycota; Sordariomycetes; Sordariales; Sordariaceae
Also listed under: 4 other names
Description: tRNA-Leu
Rfam family: tRNA
About the family: Transfer RNA (tRNA) molecules are approximately 80 nucleotides in length. Their secondary structure includes four short double-helical elements and three loops (D, anti-codon, and T loops).
Source: RNAcentral